This 72-nucleotide transfer RNA is filed under the name Bos taurus (domestic cattle). It matches the Rfam family "tRNA". From Rfam's summary of the family: Transfer RNA (tRNA) molecules are approximately 80 nucleotides in length. RNAcentral also lists the same sequence under 2 other names. Lineage: Eukaryota; Metazoa; Chordata; Mammalia; Artiodactyla; Bovidae. The record is from Rfam by way of RNAcentral.
UCCCUGGUGGCUCAGACGGUAAAGCGUCUGCCUGCAAUCCAGGAGAUCCGGGUUCGAUUCCUGGGUCGGGAA